RNAcentral lists this ribosomal RNA (253 nucleotides) under uncultured bacterium. Its description in RNAcentral is "partial 16S ribosomal RNA". It matches the Rfam family "Bacterial small subunit ribosomal RNA", at positions 524 to 776 of the family's 1533-position model. The record is from RNAcentral.
UACGUAGGGUGCGAGCGUUGCCCGGAUUUAUUGGGCGUAAAGGGCGCGCAGGCGGUACGGCACGUCCGUUGUGAAAUCGCUCGGCUCAACUGGGCGGGGUCAGCGGAUACGGCCGCACUUGAGCAAGCUAGGGGGCAAUGGAAUUCCCGGUGUAGUGGUGGAAUGCGUAGAUAUCGGGAGGAACACCAGUGGCGAAGGCGGUUGCCUGGAGCUUUGCUGACGCUGAGGCGCGAAAGCUAGGGUAGCGAACGGG